CUCGUGUUUUCCUGUUCAUGCUUACUGAAUCCCUUAAAUCUCAUGAUUCAAAGAAAUUAAUUAACUGGGUUACUAUGUAUGUGGGAACUUGAGCCUUCUCAAAGGUCAAAUGGUGAAAUUCCCAUGGAAGAUUAUGGAUGAAUUUUCUCCUUUCCACUAAUGCUCCAGUUACUGUGGGACCACCCAAGAGGAAUUUGUGCUCAAAAGUGCAUGGAAGAAUGGCAGCUGGAAAUCAUGCAGAAAAUUUCCAGGGAGAAGAAGAUGAUGAACAAUAACCAGCUAUAGACUGUUAGAAUCUCCAAGAAAGAAAAUAUGAAGAAACUGGAAAUUAGGCAUCCUAUGAAGUGGGUGAUGAUGCAGAGACUGAGUCCAAUAACAAAGAGAAGUAGGAAAGUUUAGGAAGUAGAACAGAAGCAAGAGACUUCUUAGCCCACACAGUUAGUCCUCAGCUCCAAGUGCUGGGUUAAAGAACUGUAGUGGGUUUCCUUCACUGCUUACAACAAAGAGACAGCCACAGAAGCAUCACUGGGAAACACCAGCUAAAGGACAGUAUAUGUCAACUUGUCUUACUGGGCGCUGAGCGAAAAUGCAACCUGUACACACCUGGGAACUGCUUCUAGUACAUGAUGCACAGAACAAAGACCUUUAUGAAGGCCUCUCCAUAUGUUCCUGUAGAAGUCUGAUUUGUACUGAGUACUGUGGCCACCCGAAAGUAGGAGAUUCUGGAAGAGGGGACAUGGACAGCAGUGUUGUACUAGAUCUCAGAAGAGACCCUCCUGGCUAAAUGGAUAGAAGAGCUCUUCAGCAUUUCAAAAUAUUAAAAAGCACUUGGAGAGAGAUGAAAGACAGAAGAAGAAAGGCAAGGAAUCAAGAACUUCAAAGGAUACAAGUCAGGGAUAUAUGAAGAGAAAUUAUAUUUUAGCUUUGUAUUAAGAAAAUUUAUACUAUUUUGUAAUAAUUACACUAUUAAUGUCAGUGAGCAUGUCUUUUGUCAGCGUUGUUCUGCAUGUGAGGUGUCGAAAGCUUAGUCUACACACUGGGCAAUUUCUUAUGACUUGUUUAAAAUUUGAUUUCUGUAACUAUUACAGUAGGGAAUGCCGAUCCCUGACUAAUCAAUAAUAAAACUAGUCCCCUAUUAUGGAAAUCAGUGUGGCAAUUCUUCAGAAAAUUAAAAAAAACAUUUAAUCCAAAUAAAUGUUUACAUGAAAGAUGCUCAGUGAA
Non-coding RNA from Myodes glareolus (Bank vole), 1221 nucleotides. The record is from RefSeq and is a predicted model, not a curated record. NCBI's taxonomy places the organism in Eukaryota, Metazoa, Chordata, Mammalia, Rodentia, Cricetidae.